RNAcentral lists this ribosomal RNA (460 nucleotides) under uncultured bacterium. Its description in RNAcentral is "partial 16S ribosomal RNA". It matches the Rfam family "Bacterial small subunit ribosomal RNA", at positions 338 to 795 of the family's 1533-position model. The record is from RNAcentral.
CCUACGGGAGGCAGCAGUGAGGAAUAUUGGUCAAUGGGCGCGAGUCUGAACCAGCCAAGUAGCGUGAAGGAUGACUGCCCUACGGGUUGUAAACUUCUUUUAUAAAGGAAUAAAGUGAGGCACGUGUGCCUUUUUGUAUGUACCUUAUGAAUAAGGAUCGGCUAACUCCGUGCCAGCAGCCGCGGUAAUACGGAGGAUCCGAGCGUUAUCCGGAUUUAUUGGGUUUAAAGGGUGCGUAGAUGGGUUGUUAAGUCAGUUGUGAAAGUUUGCGGCUCAACCGUAAAAUUGCAUUUGAUACUGGCAGCCUUGAGUACAGUUGAGGUAGGCGGAAUUCGUGGUGUAGCGGUGAAAUGCUUAGAUAUCACGAAGAACUCCGAUUGCGAAGGCAGCCUACUAAGCUGCCACUGACAUUGAUGCUCGAAAGUGUGGGUAUCAAACAGGAUUAGAUACCCGUGUAGUC